CCGAAAACCCAGAGUUUUCGUUAACUCAAGGUAUACUUACUCAGAGUUUGCACUAAACCGGCUUCCUGAAAUAGGGCCCAGUGAAUACAACUUCUGCUGACACUUUCUGGCCAGUCAUAUACCGUGUUGUUGGGAGUGUGGUAUUUGUCACCGUAGUAAUAUUAAUAUGUGUUACAUCGAAGCAAGGUUGCAAAGGAAAACCGAGGAAGACAACAAAACCAAGUCAGGAGCUCUACACUCAUAUCUAUGACAACGAUGUAUGAUGACGAUCCUCAUGUCUGAAAUGCUCUAAAAUCAGUCUGUAAAGCUCAAUUUAUUAUAAUCAGCAUAUUUUACUGAUGUGUGAGCUAAGCCUUGCUACAAUUUCUUAUUUAAAUCUACUGGCGUCUCACUGGUGUGUGUUACCGUGUACCCAGUUUAGCAUUUUUUGAAUUCCUGUAAAUCAAAUCAAACUGUAGAAGUGAAAUUUCCUACUUGAGAAACCACUAUUGUUUAGUCUGCAAAGACUGCGGGUGCAUGUGUGUGUGUGCGUAAGUGUGCAUGUGUGUACGUGCGUGUGUGUGGUGUAUGACACAUUGGAAAGGUAAUAGUUUUGCUUCCUGUACAGGUAACAGUUUUGCACACAUCCUGUGCAAACAGGACCUUUGACUGUAUUUAUGAUUGAAUUAGUGUGUUUGCAUCGCUG
Molecule: long non-coding RNA, 685 nt
Organism: Astatotilapia calliptera (eastern happy)
Lineage: Eukaryota; Metazoa; Chordata; Actinopteri; Cichliformes; Cichlidae
Source: Ensembl